RNAcentral lists this long non-coding RNA (206 nucleotides) under Lathyrus oleraceus (garden pea). Its description in RNAcentral is "Pisum sativum (pea) long non-coding RNA (PSAT_LNC032225)". The record is from RNAcentral. Lineage: Eukaryota; Viridiplantae; Streptophyta; Magnoliopsida; Fabales; Fabaceae.
AAAUAUUAAAAUAUUAAAAACCCUACAUAUCUUACUAUAUCUACUAUGUAGUUGGCCGAUGCAUGAACAGAAGAAAACCUACACCAAUCGUACACCAUAAGCGGCGCCUCAUCAUUUAUCAUCUUUCAUUCUCAGCAUAUCUCUUAUUUUCCUCUAAGCUACUCUCAAACCAUCAGGUAUUUCUCAGAUAUCAUAAUAUCAUAAAA